RNAcentral lists this ribosomal RNA (460 nucleotides) under uncultured bacterium. RNAcentral's name for it is "partial 16S ribosomal RNA". It matches the Rfam family "Bacterial small subunit ribosomal RNA", at positions 338 to 795 of the family's 1533-position model. The record is from RNAcentral.
CCUACGGGUGGCAGCAGUGAGGAAUCUUGGUCAAUGGGCGCGAGCCUGAACCAGCCAAGUAGCGUGAAGGAUGACUGUCCUACGGGUUGUAACCUUCUUUUAUAAAGGAAUAAAGUGAGGCACGUGUGCCUAUUUGGAUGUACUUUAUGAAUAAGGACCGGCUAACUCCGUGCCAGCAGCCGCGGUAAUACGGAGGGGCCGCGCGUUACGCGGAUUUAUUGGGUUUAAAGGGAGCGUAGAUGGGUUGUUAAGUCAGUUGUGAAAGUUUGCGGCUCAACCGUAAAAUUGCAAUUGAUACUGGCAGUCUUGAGUACAGUUGAGGUAAGCGGAAUUCGUGGUGUAGCAGUGAAAUGCGUAGAUAUCGCGAAGAACUCCGAUUGCGAAGGCAGCUUACUGAACUGCCACUGACAUUGAGGCUCGAAAGUGUGGGUAUCAAACGGGAUUAGAUACCCCAGUAGUC